GCCGCUGUCCACCUCUUCGUAGCACGAUUCCGUCAUGGCAUCCGAGAAAGAUACAUAUAAUGCAAAGUGGACUGACCAUGUGACCAACAUUUUUAUAAGUUUGAUGGUAGAAGAGGUAAAAAAGGGAAAUCGUACCUCUUGUACUUUCAACAAAGUAGGGUGGAAAACUAUACUUGCUGAAUUUAAUAGUCGGGCAAGACGCCAAUAUAAGCUAUCACAGCUGAAGAACAAGAUGAACAAAUUGAGAAGAUUAUUUGGCGCUUUUAAGAAGCUUCUGACACAAUCCGGAUUUGGCUUGGAUAAUGU
This is a long non-coding RNA of Rhodamnia argentea, 306 nucleotides long. RefSeq lists it as uncharacterized. The record is from RefSeq and is a predicted model, not a curated record. The transcript has 2 exons. Lineage: Eukaryota; Viridiplantae; Streptophyta; Magnoliopsida; Myrtales; Myrtaceae.